Molecule: ribosomal RNA, 301 nt
Filed under: uncultured bacterium
Lineage: Bacteria
Description: partial 16S ribosomal RNA
Rfam family: Bacterial small subunit ribosomal RNA
Source: RNAcentral
CAGUCGCCGCGGUAAUACGUAGGUGGCAAGCGUUGUCCGGAUUUAUUGGGCGUAAAGCGAGCGCAGGCGGUCAAUUAAGUCUGAUGUGAAAGCCCCCGGCUCAACCGGGGAGGGUCAUUGGAAACUGGUUGACUUGAGUGCAGAAGAGGAGAGUGGAAUUCCAUGUGUAGCGGUGAAAUGCGUAUAUAUAUGGAGGAACACCAGUGGCGAAGGCGACUCUCUGGUCUGUAACUGACACUGAGGCGCGAAAGCGUGGGGAGCAAACAGGAUUAGAUACCCCAGUAGUCCCUGUCUCUUAUAC